RNAcentral lists this transfer RNA (83 nucleotides) under Candidatus Dadabacteria bacterium. Its description in RNAcentral is "tRNA-Leu". It matches the Rfam family "tRNA". Rfam says of the family: Transfer RNA (tRNA) molecules are approximately 80 nucleotides in length. Their secondary structure includes four short double-helical elements and three loops (D, anti-codon, and T loops). Further hydrogen bonds mediate the characteristic L-shaped molecular structure. tRNAs have two regions of fundamental functional importance: the anti-codon, which is responsible for specific mRNA codon recognition, and the 3' end, to which the tRNAs corresponding amino acid is attached (by aminoacyl-tRNA synthetases). tRNAs cope with the degeneracy of the genetic code in two manners: having more than one tRNA (with a specific anti-codon) for a particular amino acid; and 'wobble' base-pairing, i.e. permitting non-standard base-pairing at the 3rd anti-codon position. Lineage: Bacteria; Pseudomonadati; Thermodesulfobacteriota; Candidatus Dadabacteria. The record is from RNAcentral. RNAcentral also lists the same sequence under 1 other name.
GCGGGGGUAGCCAAGAGGUCAACGGCGCAGGAUUCAGGGUCCUGUCUCGAAGGAGUUCGGGGGUUCAAAUCCCUCUCCCCGCA